Molecule: ribosomal RNA, 251 nt
Filed under: uncultured bacterium
Lineage: Bacteria
Description: partial 16S ribosomal RNA
Rfam family: Bacterial small subunit ribosomal RNA
Source: RNAcentral
UACGUAGGCAGCAAGCGUUGUUCGGAGUUACUGGGCGUAAAGGGUGUGUAGGCGGUUUUCUAAGUCUGGUGUGAAAUCUCCCGGCUCAACUGGGAGGUGCGCCGAAAACUGGAAGGCUAGAGUGCGGGAUGGGAGAGUGGAAUUCCUGGUGUAGCGGUGAAAUGCGUAGAUAUCAGGAGGAACACCUGUGGUGUAGACGGCUCUCUGGACCGCAACUGACGCUGAGACACGAAGCGUGGGUAGCAAACAGG